RNAcentral lists this ribosomal RNA (253 nucleotides) under uncultured bacterium. RNAcentral's name for it is "partial 16S ribosomal RNA". It matches the Rfam family "Bacterial small subunit ribosomal RNA", at positions 524 to 776 of the family's 1533-position model. The record is from RNAcentral.
UACGAAGGGUGCAAGCGUUAUUCGGAAUUACUGGGCGUAAAGCGUGCGUAGGUGGUUUGUUAAGUCUGAUGUGAAAGCCCUGGGCUCAACCUGGGAACGGCAUUGGAAACUGGCUUACUAGAGUGCGGUAGAGGGGUGUGGAAUUCCCGGUGUAGCAGUGAAAUGCGUAGAUAUCGGGAGGAACAUCUGUGGCGAAGGCGACACCCUGGACCAGCACUGACACUGAGGCACGAAAGCGUGGGGAGCAAACAGG